UUUAUAGGGUCUAAGUGUCUCAUCCACUUCAUUGCCAAUAGGAGGGAUGUAAUAAGUGUGGGGAUGUGGUUAACAGCCAAACUGUAUGCCAAUGAAGUGUUACAUAUACAGGGAUUCAAGCCCACUUUCUACCCUUAGGCAAUAAUGGAGUCCUCUGUGAAGCACAUGGCCUUUCACCAGGCAAAAUCAGUUGGGUUGUUGAUAAACUCCUCCUCCAUUACCUUCCAAUGCAAUCCCC
Molecule: non-coding RNA, 238 nt
Organism: Pelobates cultripes (western spadefoot toad)
Lineage: Eukaryota; Metazoa; Chordata; Amphibia; Anura; Pelobatidae
Source: the annotation of a GenBank genome assembly